AGCGAACGCUGGCGGCAGGCUUAACACAUGCAAGUCGAGCGGGCCCUUCGGGGUCAGCGGCGGACGGGUGAGUAACGCGUGGGAACGUGCCCUCUGGUCUGGAAUAACCCUGGGAAGCUAGGGCUAAUACCGGAUACGCCCUUUUGGGGAAAGGCUUGCUGCCGGAGGAUCGGCCCGCGUCUGAUUAGCUAGGUGGUGGGGUAACGGCCUACCAAGGCGACGAUCAGUAGCUGGUCUGAGAGGAUGAUCAGCCACACUGGGACUGAGACACGGCCCAGACUCCUACGGGAGGCAGCAGUGGGGAAUAUUGGACAAUGGGCGCAAGCCUGAUCCAGCCAUGCCGCGUGAGUGAUGAAGGCCUUAGGGUUGUAAAGCUCUUUUAUCCGGGACGAUAAUGACGGUACCGGAGGAAUAAGCCCCGGCUAACUUCGUGCCAGCAGCCGCCGUAA
RNAcentral lists this ribosomal RNA (449 nucleotides) under uncultured bacterium. RNAcentral describes it as "partial 16S ribosomal RNA". It matches the Rfam family "Bacterial small subunit ribosomal RNA", at positions 28 to 523 of the family's 1533-position model. The record is from RNAcentral.